UACGGAGGGUGCAAGCGUUGUUCGGAAUUACUGGGCGUAAAGCGCGUGUAGGCGGCCUCUUAAGUCUGGUGUGAAAGCCCGGGGCUCACCCCCGGAAGGGCACUGGAUACUGGGAGGCUAGAGUACCGGAGAGGAGGGUGGAAUUCCUGGUGUAGCGGUGAAAUGCGUAGAUAUCAGGGGGAACACCGGUGGCGAAGGCGGCCCCCUGGACGGCUACUGACGCUGAGACGCGAAAGCGUGGGGAGCAAACAGU
This 253-nucleotide ribosomal RNA is filed under the name uncultured bacterium. RNAcentral describes it as "partial 16S ribosomal RNA". It matches the Rfam family "Bacterial small subunit ribosomal RNA", at positions 524 to 776 of the family's 1533-position model. The record is from RNAcentral.